UACGUAGGGAGCAAGCGUUAUCCGGAAUUAUUGGGUGUAAAGGGUGCGUAGACGGGAGUCUAAGUUAGUUGUGAAAUCCCUCGGCUCAACUGAGGAACUGCAACUAAAACUGGACAUCUUGAGUGCAGGAGAGGAAAGUGGAAUUCCUAGUGUAGCGGUGAAAUGCGUAGAUAUUAGGAGGAACACCAGUGGCGAAGGCGACUUUCUGGACUGUAACUGACGUUGAGGCACGAAAGUGUGGGGAGCAAACAGG
RNAcentral lists this ribosomal RNA (253 nucleotides) under uncultured bacterium. Its description in RNAcentral is "partial 16S ribosomal RNA". It matches the Rfam family "Bacterial small subunit ribosomal RNA", at positions 524 to 776 of the family's 1533-position model. The record is from RNAcentral.